This 3023-nucleotide long non-coding RNA is filed under the name Triticum aestivum (bread wheat). Its description in RNAcentral is "long non-coding RNA (TAES_LNC014507)". The record is from RNAcentral. Lineage: Eukaryota; Viridiplantae; Streptophyta; Magnoliopsida; Poales; Poaceae.
AGAGAACUUAUUUUCAGUAUUAUUACAUCUAAAUAGCCUUACAUAACAAAAAGAACACAAUCGAUGCACAAAAUGAUACAUUAGCUUGACAACCAAAGAAGGAGACAAGGAUGACGUUGCACAGCAACCAAUGAAAGGUUUAAUGUGAAAGUUGUGAGUCCACAUACAAUUUGGACAAGAAAAGAGGAAGCGCUACUAUAAACAGAAAACAGCGCCGAACAUGUGUUGCAUCUUUGUAAAGAACUUAAUCGGAUGAUGGCGAUGCCCCGAGAAGUGCGCGGAAGGUGGCGACUCUGCCCUCUGCUUCUUCCUCCUCAGCUGGAAGAACUGUUGCAUUAUCUCUGAGCACUCCGUGGACAGGAUACUGCACCUUACGGUUAUCUUCAGAUGGAAAGAGUGGACAGGCCCGACAGUUUGCUUCUGAUUCGAUGGGUCCAAUAUGCUUGUUUGCACCUCUACAAGGAAAAGCCUAUAAUACAAGUGCAACAAUCUCUCAAGUUUUCAUGUCAAUGAAUGGAAUGUAUAGAAUUGACAACACAUAUAUUGGUAUGGAAUCCACUGGCCAUUAUUCAAAGCAGUCCACUUGUACAUGACUUGACUCUCAGAACUAUUUGUAGGUGAUUUAAUCUCAUGUAUCAACUGGAAUGCCUAAGUAAAGUCCCCAUCUAAAAUUUUCGGAUCUGUAAAUCUGAUUUGUGUCUGAGAGGGAUACUAGAAUGGAAUGCAAAGUUAAAUAUGUGUUAGCUAACGAAAAGCAACACAUCUAAUAGGUUCUUUACUUGCUUGGACAAGUGGGGAAUAAUUGUUUUUACUACCAUUUUAAAUAUAAUAUUAAGCUAUUUAGGAGUGAGUUUACCAAGGAGCUAGGCUUGGGAAGUUGAUUAUUAGUCACGAAUUCAUGUUUGAUGUGUGGUGGGAAUUUGAGAGAAAGUUUCAUCCCGUGUGAAUUAACACCGGACUAAGGAAGAGAUAUGUGGGAAUUAGCCUCUUAAUUUACAUUUUUUUUCCUUUCCUGCGUAAUUUCCUUGUCCCCAACCAAAAUACCUUCCAAAAUCUCAUCCCCUGCCACUACUUCCCCCUUAACAAACAAGUUAUAAGCUUUGGGGUGGCAUUAGAGUUGCUCUUAGGUGUAGGGGUUGUUCAGUUCAGCCUGAGUUGGAGACAGGACAGAUAUGGGAACAAGUGGAAUAGGAUGAGCGGAUGCACUAUUGACCUUGGCAUUGGUGGUGCGUUUAUUACAUAUUUAUUUUUAUUUACAUAUUUUGUGUGAACUAAUUCAUGGAUUUAAUGUAUGAAUCCAGAGCCUCGGUCCACCCAUCUAGAAAAGAGAGGGCAAUUACUAAUUAGCAUAAUUCUAGACAGGACAAUGUAUUGCAUUGUUUUGUACGUUCUGAGUACACACGGUUGGUAUGGUAGGAAUCUUCACUGGCUUGCCUUGUGCCAGGGUGAUAUAAGGAGUCGUCGGGACCAUGUUCCAGCUGAGUUGCACAUUAGUAGAUUGGUAGUACAAUCUUUUGGAACUAUGCAUAAAACUGCGAGAAGAGAAGCUAGCCUCUGAUCCGAGACUGUUGUUGUUCUAGGUGAAUAGUGAUAAUGAUGUCAAGUCAUACUGUCUAGCGGAUUCAUAAGUUUGAGAGGCAUCGGGAUAACGUACUCUCCCAUACAUCACUCUGUACCUCAUCAUUUUCUUUUAGAAUGAAGGCUUAAGGAGGGCCCGGCUUUGAAUUAACAAAGCCUCAACCAGCUAGGAUUAUAAUGUAAAAUUACCCGUGCUUCAUCAUUAGUGUCUGCCUCUAGCAGGAGGAACGGGAACCAUGUGCCCACCACCUCAUCAUUUUCUUUUAGAAUAAAGGCGCAAGAAGGGUCCGACUUUGAAUUAAUAAAGCCAUCAACCAGCUAAGAUUACAAUGCAAAAUUACAUGUGUGUCAUCAUUAGUGUCUGCCUCUAGCGAGAACGGAAACCAUGUGCCCACCAAUAAUUUGGUGUGGCUUCAAUGCUGGACUGGCCUGAGAAUUAUGCUUGUUGUCAUACUUCUCGUUGAGCUCUAAACAUGACUGGUGUUUCUAGGAACACGUAGACGCCAUCUCCACAUCGGUGCGCAGCUAUGCAUCCAUCUCCACGCCGAUGCAACUCUGCAUCUACAAAAGUGAUUAUAAAACCAAAAAACCAAUUCGGUGCCUAGGCUCGUCUGCACCCGGUCAGAAAAAAAAUCAAAACAAAUACUAAAAAAUGCAAAAAAAAAUCCAAUAUUUUUGUGUGAUAGAUAAUUAUAUGUGUGAGGUUCGUUCCAAAUUUCAACUUAUUUGGACAUUUGAGCAGCUCUCGGCAAAAAAAAACAAAUUGGGUCAGAACAAUGUGUGAACAGUAAACUUUUUUACAGACCCUGAAUUUGUCUUUUUUGCUGAGAGUUGCUCAGAGGUCCAAAUGAGUUGAAACUUGAAGCGCACCUCACGCAUAAACUUAUCUACCAUACAAAAAAAAUUGGAAUUUUUUGAAUUUGUUUUGAUUUUUUUCGUUAGGGAGGAUGCAGAUGAGCUCGGGAGCAAAAACGCCGCACUCUGCACUGUUUUUUACACAUCCAUAUCGAACUGUCUCAAUGAUAACCUUGUGCUCUCUUUUUUACCCUUUUGCCACUAGUACAAAUGAAAUGGACGAGUUCUAAGUUCUCUUCUCCCCAACACAAGGAAAUUAUUUGCAGGCUCUGUAGACAUAAACCUGCCAGAGAACUUAUUUUCAGUAUUAUUACAUCUAAAUAGCCUUUGCAUGACAAAGAAAAAACACAACCGAUACACAAAAUGACACAUUAGCUUGGCAUCCAAAGAAGGAAACAAGGAUGACGUUGCACAGAAGCCCUGAAAGGUUGAAUGCGAAAGCUGCCGAGUCUACAACUACAUACAAUUGGGACAAGAAAAGAAGUACUACUAUAAACAGAAAACAGUGCCAAACAUGUGUUGCAUCUUGGUGAAAAACUUGAUCGGAUGGUGACGAUGCCCCGAGUAGUGCGCGCGAGGUGGCGACUCUG